RNAcentral lists this ribosomal RNA (470 nucleotides) under uncultured Bacillus sp. RNAcentral's name for it is "bacterial SSU rRNA". It matches the Rfam family "Bacterial small subunit ribosomal RNA", at positions 916 to 1381 of the family's 1533-position model. Lineage: Bacteria; Bacillati; Bacillota; Bacilli; Caryophanales; Bacillaceae. The record is from RNAcentral. RNAcentral also lists the same sequence under 1 other name.
ACGGGGCCCGCACAAGCGGUGGAGCAUGUGGUUUAAUUCGACGCAACGCGAAGAACCUUACCAGGGCUUGACAUCCCCUGACCGCGUAUGAAAGUACGUUUUCACCCUCGGGUGACAGGGAGACAGGUGGUGCAUGGUUGUCGUCAGCUCGUGUCGUGAGAUGUUGGGUUAAGUCCCGCAACGAGCGCAACCCCUACGUUUAGUUGCUAACGCGUGAAGGCGAGCACUCUAGACGAACUGCCGUUGACAAAACGGAGGAAGGUGGGAUGACGUCAAAUCAUCAUGCCCCUUAUGUUCUGGGCUACACACGUGCUACAAUGGCCGGUACAGACGGACGCAAAGCCGCGAGGUGGAGCAAAUCCUAAAAAGCCGGUCUCAGUUCGGAUUGCAGGCUGCAAUUCGCCUGCAUGAAGUCGGAAUCGCUAGUAAUCGCAGGUCAGCAUACUGCGGUGAAUACGUUCCCGGGCCUU